UCUAAUGAUCUGUGCUCUGGUCAACAGUUUUGACACACUUUUGACAAGCUGAGAUGCUAGCUGACCAAGCUGUCCAAUGUGUCUCCCUCUCUGUCCUCUUUCUAUCUCCCUCCAUCCGUCUCUCUUUCAUUCUCUGGAGAGACAUAACCCAGAUUUUAAAAAUGAACUGCUGCCUAUCUCUCCUCAUCUACUCCCUGCUUCUCUCUCUCUCUGUCACUUUCUCUCUUUUUACCUCACACGCUCUUCCUGUUGGUAAAAACAGAAUCAAUCUUAGAAAGUGAAAAUCGCCUCAGUGUCUCUGCCCCUCUUCGUUCUCUAUUGGAUAAAGGAAUACAGAGUCCUCUACUCCUCCUCCAUAUUUCUGCAUUCCUGGAAAGCUUCACUCAACCUUCAACUUUCUUUCUCUUCUUUUUCUUUUUUUUUCCUUCGGGGGCUUUUCAAAGGGUUUUCCUUAUUUUUGGUUUUGGUUUCCUGCAUGAUCUCAAUUCUUCUACUUUUCAUGAGUCAGGGUUGACGAAGCCGUGAACCUGACGCCCACCUAGAGGAAGAGGGAGAACAGUGAGUGACCAUUUGACUAAAUCAUUUAGCAAAACAACCACAAUCAGCAUCACAAACUCUGAUCUCUACAUACACAAACCUUAUAAACAUUUCCUUUCCCCCCUUUCCAAUAAUUUUUGUUUUCUCCUUCACAAUUCAUCUUUUCUUUUAUUUCUCUACCAUCAUCUUCAUCUUGCCAUUCUUUUACCUUUCUUUGAACCUUCUUUCUCUCCCCCUGUCCCCAUCCUUCCUUCAGUGGCAUGUCUACACCAGUCUCUCCACCCCCCUCUCUUUCCCCACUGUCCUUGUCCUCUCCUUCUCCCUCCUCUUCUCCUUUGCCCUCUCCCCUCUCCCCACCCCCCAGGCUUCCAGUCUUCCAGAGGAAAGGAGCACUCAAGCACAAGAGGAUUGUUGAAGUGAAAGACCAUCAGUUCACAGCCCGCUUCUUCAAACAGCCCACCUUCUGCAGCCACUGCACAGACUUCAUUUGGGGUAUAGGAAAGCAAGGAUUCCAAUGCCAAGUUUGCAGUUUUGUGGUGCACAAACGCUGUCAUGAGUUUGUCACUUUUACAUGUCCAGGAAGCAUCACUGCACCAAAAGCAGAGGAUUUGAAGAGUAAACACAAGUUUAAGAUACACACUUACUCCAGCCCAACCUUCUGCGAUCACUGUGGUUCUCUACUCUAUGGCCUCAUUCACCAGGGCAUGAGAUGCACCAGCUGUGAGAUGAACGUUCAUAAGCGAUGUGAGAACAGUGUACCCAGUCUAUGUGGGCAUGACCACACUGAGAAAAGAGGACGGAUCCACCUGAGCGUGCGUGGAGAGAAGGAGGAUAUAUAUGUCACAGUACGUGAAGCACGGAACCUGAUUCCCAUGGACCCUAAUGGCUUGUCUGACCCCUAUGUGAAGCUCAAACUUAUUCCAGAUCCCAAAAGCCACAGCAAACAGAAAACCAAGACUAUUCGUUCCACUCUAAACCCUGUAUGGAAUGAAAGCUUUGUCUUUUCAGUGAGAGGCAGGCAGUGGGACAGGCGCUUGUCAAUAGAGGUAUGGGACUGGGAUCGCACAUCUCGAAACGACUUCAUGGGAGCUCUCUCCUUUGGAGUGAGUGAGAUAUUUCGUCGUCCUGUUAGUGGCUGGUUUAAACUGCUCAACCAGGAUGAGGGAGAGUACUACAAUAUCCCUGUACCCGAUCCAGACCUACAGGAGCCAGACUCUGCUGUCUCUCCCUCUCUUCUUCCUACUCCGGUUACUGUUCCUACACCUGUGCCUGCUGUCACCCCACCUGUUGUGAGUCCUGCACCCACCAGCUUACCAGUGGGAAAGGGACGAGUUAGACUACAGGACUUCAACUUCCUUAUGGUGCUAGGCAAGGGCAGCUUUGGCAAGGUGAUGCUGGCCGAGGAAAGAGGGAGCGACCGCUUGUUUGCGGUGAAGGUGCUGAAGAAAGAUGUGCUUUUUCAGGAUGAGGACACAGAGAGCGCAAUGGUGGAGCGGAGAGUUCUGGGAUUGAUUGGCCGUCCACACUUCCUCACAUCUCUCUUUUGCGCCUUCCAGACUGAGGAUCGUCUGUACUAUGUAAUGGAAUAUGUGAAUGGUGGAGAUCUCAUGUUCCAUAUUCAGAUUGUUGGAAAAUUUAAAGAGCCACAUGCUGCAUUCUAUGCAGCAGAGAUAGCUGUGGGCCUCUUCUUCUUGCACAGCAAAGGCAUCAUCUAUAGAGAUCUCAAACUGGAUAAUGUGCUGUUAGACAGUGAGGGCCACAUAAAGAUCGCUGAUUUUGGGAUGUGCAGGGAAGGCAUGAUGGAGGGAGACACCACACGGACAUUCUGUGGCACUCCGGACUACAUUGCUCCUGAGUCACCUGUCUCCUCAUACAAGAUGCAGUAUGUGUUCUGCUUUGUUCUCUUUCUCCCCCACUGUGCCUUUGAAAUUACUUAACACGUUGAUUCAAACUGUAUGUUCAGCCAUCAGUAUUCAUGUGUGUGCAUGUACAUUUGUGCCUGUGUAUGUAAAUAUGACUAUUCUCUCAUUCUAUGUAUGUCAUGGAAUGUGAUUUUGUAUAGGUGCACAAACAGUGAACAUGAAUCCUGCAUGCAUCAGCAUGUUAUUAUUAGAGGGGAUUCCAGCCCUAAUUUAAUAUUUUUAAUGCAUGAUGAGUGUGUUCUAUCAAAAAUAACAAAAAUAUAUUUUCUGGCAGAAUCCGCCUCAUACGAGUUCCCAAAAUGCAUAGCAAAUAUGCCAUCAUAAAGCCACAUACAUAGACUAAAUAUCUGCAGAGUGUACAUUCUUUUAAUGAAAAAAUUACUAUUGUGUCAGGGAAGAAACAAUGUGUUGCCAAGAGUCUGUGAGUCUCCCUGUAGUAGUAAAUCACAGUCAAAUCUUAUUCUAGUUAGAUUGGGUGGAAUUUUUUUAUGCUUACAGUCACUCAAAUCCUUCAUAUGUUCACAUGCUCCAACCUUAUUUUGAAGUUCUGCUUCAAUGGAGAGGGCUAAUGUUGGCUAAAUGCCUAAAACACAGACCAAGGAACACAAAUCAGUUUUGGUAACAAAAUAUUUUAAUUAUAUAACAAAAAAAUAUAGAGAACACAAAUCAGGUAGGAAAUUCAGACAUGUGCUCUUCACACUAAUUAGCUAAGGAUAGCCAGCUAGCUUACUGAUAUUCGCCUUAGAGCCAGUACCUGCUAAACCACCUAGCCAGUAAAAAUUAUAAGCACAUUCAGCUAGAGAGCUGUUAGAGAAGUUAACAAAGUUAACACCUUGUAAUGUCAAGGUGCAAAACUUACUGACAAAACUUACUCAGACUGAUUAAUAAACCAAUGUAUCAUUUUAGAUAUAUGAAUUCCAGAUUCUGAAAUAUACAGUGCUGUGAAAAAGUAUAUGAUUUCUUCUGUUUUUGUGUAUAUCUCAUACUAAAUCAUUUUACAUCUUCAAACAAAAUACAACAUAAAACCUGAGUAAACACACAAUACAGUUUUUAUUUAUUUAUUUUUAUGGAAGCAAAAAAGGCUAUCCAGCAUCUAUCACCCAUGUGAAAAACUAAUUGCCCCCUUAAAUUUAAAAUCUAGUUGUGCCACCUUUAGCAGCAAUAACUUCAACCGAACGCUUCCGAUAACUGGAGAUCAGUCUCUCACAUCACUGUGGUGGAAUUUUGGCACACUCUUCUUUGCAGAACUGCUUUAGUUCAGCCACCCUGAAGAGUUUUCAAGCAUGAACUGCUUGUUUAAGGUUCUGCCACAGAAGCUCAAUUGGUUCAAGUCAGGACUCUUGACUAGACCACUCCAAAACAUUAAUUUUGCUUUUUUAAAUUAAAAAUUGAAAUAGCUUUGUAACCCUACCCAGAAUGAUUCAUUUUAAUCACCUUCUUCCUCAUCAUUUCUGGAAUUUCUUUCAAUUUUGGUAUAGUGUGUUACUGGGUAAGACCGUUUAACCAAGUUCAUCCUGUUGAAAAAGUUCUAUUUAAACGCUGAUUUGAAUGAACUGGGUUCGCAGUAAGUCUGGUUGUGUCUAGUCCAGCUGAACCCCAUUAUGAAUGCAGUUUCAUAGAUUUGGGGAAUUAGUGAAUAUGGGAGCAAAUACAUUUUCACACAGGCCCAGCUGGUAUUGGAUAACUUUUUUGCUUCAGUAAAUAACAUUAUUAUUUAAAACUGUAUUUUGUGUUUACUCAGAUUGCCUUUGUUUUAUUUUAGAUUUAGUUUUCAUUUCUGAAACAAUUUAGUAUAUAGAAGAAAUCAGGAUGGGGCAAAUACUUGUUUACAGCACUGUACACUAUAUGACUUAAAGUUUUUUGACACCUGACCUUCACACCCAUAUGUGUUUUCUGAAAAUCCCAUUUCAGAUUUAGUCCCUGUUUGCAGUUAUACUAACCUCCACUCUUCUGGGAAUGUUUUCCAUUAGAUUUUGGAGUGUGGAUGUGAGGAUUUCCCCAUUUAGCCACAAGAGCAUUAGUGAGGACGAGCAAUAAUGUGGGAAGUGUAGUCGGUAUUCCAAUUCAUCCCAAAGAUGUUCAGUGGGGUUGAGGUCAGGGUUUGUGCAGGUCACUUGAUUUAUUUCACUCCACACUUGGCAAAACAUGUCUUUAUGGACCUAGCUUUGUAUACAGAGGCAUUGUCAUGCUGAGACACGUUUGAAAUCCUUAAUUCCAGUGAAGGGAAAUUGUAAUGCUACAGCGUACAAAGACAUCAUAUACAACUGUGUGCUUCCAACUUUGUUGCAAUAGUUUGAGGAAGGCCAACAUUUUGGUAUGAUCAUCAGUUGUCCACAAACUUUUGGCCAUAUAGUGCAAUUCCAACAUCUCUGUCCCUAUGGGGACUAAAUCCUUCAGAUCACAUGGGAUGCAAACAAGUUGUACAUUAAUACAUUCACAGUAAUACUUUGCAUGGCACAAAACACUUUUGCUCAUAUUCCCCUUUAAUUGAGCCGUUAAAAUCACUGUAAUUGACUGUCAUGGUAGUGAGGAAAUUAAUCUCUUACUCAUGCUCACAUACACACACACAGUGUACAUAUAUUUGCCUCUAAAUUGCACACUUAAGCUUGCCUUCUCAUUAACUAUGCUUAUUUAAUUUCUUUAUGAUCAUUUUUUCAUAGACUCAAGACAGCAGUGUAUCUACUCUGAUGGAGUCACCCAGGAAUAAUUAGUUGUAUUCUUUGUUACUCCUUAUUAAAAAAGAUAAUAUAAUCUUUGUUGUAAACAUUUAAAAACAUUAAGGCUUAUCACCUUCAUACUCAUAUUGAAGUUUCUUAUAACCUUAAGGGAAAAAUCCACCCUGAAUGACAGUAUUUAUAAUCAGUAUAUCAGUAUUUAUAAUAAAUAUGUGAUUUUCAAUUGUGCAAAAGGAUACAUGUCUUUGUCACCACUAUUUCUACUUUGAAUUUCUUAUUAAAAUCCACAAGAAUGCAAAGGAGCUAUAGAUACACCAGGCAAGGUCCAAAUGUGGAAGAAAACAGAAGCAGGUGCAAUUCACAGACACAGAGGCUGGUGAGACACAGGAGAACUCCAGACAGGAAGCACACCACACUACUGGGGAUCUCUCUGCACCUACUUCCUCCUUAAACUACAUGGAGGACCAGAUCACCGUCACCCAAGAAAACCCAUCCCAACCUACUAGGGAAAGAAUCCAUUGGCCCAAAUUGAACAACAUCAAGUGGUCCAGAUUUGAGGAGGAUCUGGAGUCAAUCCUCGAGGCAACUCUAGUAGUAAUGGCAGAAAAAUUGGAUAAUCUAUCAACCCUCAGUUACAACUUAUCAAGAUAAGGUAUGGGGGAUGGAGAUGAAGGGAAUUAAAUCCAGUUGUCAGAGUCUGUCAGAAUUUUGAGUCAGAGGCAGUUAAACAUUUAAUCUGUGAAACACAUGGAACUAAACUCUAGAACAUGAGCAAUACCUUACUAAACAAUGAAACAUACAUAAAACAUGAAGUAAAGGUGAGAAAAGCUAGACAACAAGUGCUACCAAAGACAGAACUUAAAUACCAGUGCUCAUUAGAUUACAGCUUGACUCAGGUGCAAGUGAUAAAUGUGAAGUGCAGGGGCUGUUCUGUGCUGUUUUUGGCACUGACCCUGCAGCAGGCAAGAACCACCUUCUCACUGAGGCAGGUGGUGGUGGUGGGGUCACAACAUGCUUCCCAAAGAUAGUUGAUGAAUUCGUCCGGAUACACAAGACCCUGUCGGCCUUGGGCAUGUCUUGCCACAUCCCAGACCACAUCUUGAACAUGAGCACCAGUAACUUCAAACACAUUUGGUUGUAUUUCUGAACCAUUAACUUGACAAAAAGUGGCAGUCCAUGGAAAAAGGUAUCAUAGCAGGAUGUACAAUUUCCCCCAUAUUGUUCCUUAUGGGAAUGAACCUGAUUAUUACAGCACCUAGAAAAAAAUUACAGAGGACCAAAAACUGCCUCAUCAAACAGUCAGGGGAUUCAUGGAUGACAUUACCAUGCAUGUUCAAGCAAGGUGGAUCCUGAAGCAACUGGACCAAAUUGCCAAUUGGGCCAGGAUGACCUUAAAUCCCAUGAAAUCAAGGAGUCUGGGAAUCAGGCUGAGGAAACUGCACAAUCAAUGUGGAGUCUGAUGACUAAGAUGGGAUUCAGAGGCUGUAACUGACAAACAGCAGCCUAGAGGUUGGAAGAAUCUGUGGAAAGAGCCUUCUAUUAGCUUUGGCACAGAAGGGAACAGAUGAACUGGAAGCUAGCAGGAGAGGGGCAGUGAUUUGGCCACCACUGCUGACCCACCAGCUGGAGAAAGUCAUGGUUAAAGGUCAAAACACUUGUUGAAAGUUGGGUGCCACCUGAUGACAUCUACUCCUGGCCAAGGCUACAAACAGACUAGAUGGUUGUCUGAAGGGCAUCCUGCAGAUGCAUUGAAAUCAUUUGAUUUGAAGGUCGCUGGAAAAUGAUUGUAGCAUAUCAGCCAUACGGUAAAGCAGUAGACUGGUGGUCGUAUGGGGUUCUCCUCUAUGAAAUGCUUGCUGGGCAGCCUCCAUUUGAUGGGAUCGAUGAAGAGGAGCUG
Ictalurus punctatus (channel catfish) is the source of this 7031-nucleotide RNA transcript. It is a transcript of the gene named protein kinase C, gamma, with no coding region annotated. The record is from RefSeq and is a predicted model, not a curated record. Lineage: Eukaryota; Metazoa; Chordata; Actinopteri; Siluriformes; Ictaluridae. The transcript has 16 exons.